GAUGAACGCUGGCGGCGUGCCUAAUACAUGCAAGUCGAGCGAACGGACGAGAAGCUUGCUUCUCUGAUGUUAGCGGCGGACGGGUGAGUAACACGUGGAUAACCUACCUAUAAGACUGGGAUAACUUCGGGAAACCGGAGCUAAUACCGGAUGAUAUUUUGAACCGCAUGGUUCAAAAGUGAAAGACGGUCUUGCUGUCACUUAUAGAUGGAUCCGCGCUGCAUUAGCUAGUUGGUAAGGUAACGGCUUACCAAGGCAACGAUGCAUAGCCGACCUGAGAGGGUGAUCGGCCACACUGGAACUGUGACACGGUCCAGACUCCUACGGGAGGCACCAGUCGGGAAUCUUCCGCAUUGGGCGAAAGCCUGCCGGAGCAACGCCGCGUGAGUGAUGAAGGUCUUCGGAUCGUAAAACUCUGUUAUUAGGGAAGAACAUAUGUGUAAGUAACUGUGCACAUCGUGACGGUACCUAAUCAGAAAGCCACGGCUAACUACGUG
This 497-nucleotide ribosomal RNA is filed under the name uncultured bacterium. RNAcentral describes it as "partial 16S ribosomal RNA". It matches the Rfam family "Bacterial small subunit ribosomal RNA", at positions 28 to 507 of the family's 1533-position model. The record is from RNAcentral.